GACGAACGCUGGCGGCGUGCCUAAUACAUGCAAGUAGAACGCACAGUUUAUACCGUAGCUUGCUACACCAUAGACUGUGAGUUGCGAACGGGUGAGUAACGCGUAGGUAACCUGCCUGGUAGCGGGGGAUAACUAUUGGAAACGAUAGCUAAUACCGCAUAAUAUUGAUUAUUGCAUGAUAAUUGAUUGAAAGAUGCUAUUGCAUCACUACCAGAUGGACCUGCGUUGUAUUAGCUAGUAGGUGAGGUAACGGCUCACCUAGGCGACGAUACAUAGCCGACCUGAGAGGGUGAUCGGCCACACUGGGACUGAGACACGGCCCAGACUCCUACGGGAGGCAGCAGUAGGGAAUCUUCGGCAAUGGACGAAAGUCUGACCGAGCAACGCCGCGUGAGUGUAGAAGGUUUUCGGAUCGUAAAGCUCUGUUGUAAGAGAAGAACGGGUGUGAGAGUGGAAAGUUCACACUGUGACGGUAUCUUACCAGAAAGGGACGGCUAACUACGUG
Molecule: ribosomal RNA, 505 nt
Filed under: uncultured bacterium
Lineage: Bacteria
Description: partial 16S ribosomal RNA
Rfam family: Bacterial small subunit ribosomal RNA
Source: RNAcentral